GAUGAACGCUGGCGGCGUGCCUAAUACAUGCAAGUCGAGCGAACAGAUGAGGAGUUUGCUCCUCUGACGUUAGCGGCGGACGGGUGAGUAACACGUGGAUAACCUACCUAUAAGACUGGGAUCACUUCGGGAAACCGGAGCUAAUACCGGAUAAUAUAUUGAACCGCAUGGUUCAAUAGUGAAAGACGGUUUUGCUGUAACUUAUAGAUGGAUCCGCGCUGCAUUAGCUAGUCGGGAAGGUAACGGCUUACCAAGGCAACGAUGCGUAGGCGACCUGGGAGGCUGAUAGCCGACACGGGAGCGGGGACACGGUCCAGAGGACUGAGACAGGCACCAGUAGGGAAUCGUCCGCAAUGGGCGAAAACCUGACGGAGCAACGGCACGUGAGUGAUGAAGGUCUUCGGAUCGUAAAACUCUGUUAUUAGUUGAGAACAAAUGUGUAAGUAACUGUGCACGUCUUGACGGUACCUGAUCAGAAAGCCACGGCUAACUACGUG
RNAcentral lists this ribosomal RNA (497 nucleotides) under uncultured bacterium. RNAcentral describes it as "partial 16S ribosomal RNA". It matches the Rfam family "Bacterial small subunit ribosomal RNA", at positions 28 to 507 of the family's 1533-position model. The record is from RNAcentral.